GAGUCUGAUACAUUGGAAUAGCGAAAGGGAAAACAACAGUCCAAUAAUGAUACAAACAUUCAAAAAUAAUGUGGAAAGCUUUGAAAUCUGUUCCGUGGAAAAUUCCAUGUGACGAAUCUGUGGCCGUCCAACAUCUGUUGGAAUCUCAGGUAAAACUAUUUGCGUGCACACGCAUAUCCCCAGAUAACAUGAUCCCCGGUUGAUCCAUAACAGCGGAAAUGCACCACGAGCUUGUUUGCUAACCAUAAAAGAAGAAGAAGACGACGACGACGACGACGAAGAAGAAGAAGGAUACUAAUUACAAUAAGCUACGAAUAAUCUAAAGGAAUGUCGGCCAAUCAGGAAGCACAAUCAGAUGAGCUUCUGGCUCUAGCAAGUAUAUAUGAUGAAGAGGAGUUUUGCAAGACGGAAUCAGUGCAGAAGGGCGAGAUCCGUCUGUGCCUUGAGCUUCCACCUAACUUCAGACUGCUAGUUAAGGGACAAGUAUGCAUAGAGUGUGGUAUAUCCUUUCUACCCCCCUUGGUUCUGAGUUUUGAACUACCUACAGACUAUCCUUCAUCAUCAGCUCCAGUUUUUACUCUAAGCUCCAAAUGGCUUUCAAGAGUCCAGAUGACUGCGCUUUGCAAGAGACUGGAUGAACUUUGGGAAGAGAACAGGGGAAAUGUGGUUCUUUUUAUCUGGAUCCAGUUCCUGAAGGAAGAAACUCUGAAAUUUUUGAACAUCAAGUCUUCCCUUAAGAUCCAAAAUAUUAGUGGUCAGCCUCAAUGUAAAUCUGGUCAGAACCAAGCAGUAGACACUGCUGUAGAAAAAAGUAAAGUGCAAGAGUUGGACAAACGAGCAGUACAAGAAGUUGACCCUCACACAGAUAUAUUAACCCAGCUGUUGGAUUUUAAUGAAAUUCAAAAGCAGAAGGUUUUUGAUGGCAAGGUUUUUAGCUGUGGAAUCUGCUUCUCUGAGAAUCUGGGUUCCAAGUCUUUGCUCUUCAAAGAGUGUCAGCAUGUCUACUGCAAGACUUGCAUGAAGGAAUACUUUCAGUUCCAAAUUAGAGAUGGUAAAGUCCAGUGCCUUACCUGCCCUAAGCCAGAGUGUAUGUCUAUGGCCACUCCUACACAGGUGAAACUUCUUGUGAGCCAAGAUGAAUUUGCUCGCUAUGACCACCUCCUUCUGCAGUGGAGUCUGAACCUAAUGGCAGAUGUUGUUUACUGUCCACGCAUAAGUUGCUGCAUGGCUGUAAUGAUCGAGCCUGACACCACCAUCGGCAUUUGCCCCUCAUGCCAAUUCGUCUUCUGCACCCUUUGCAAGCGAACAUACCAUGGCCUCUCUCUCUGCAAAGAACAUGAGCUUCGCAUGUUGAAAGAUGCUGCAGAAAAAGAGGAGAAUGAACUACUCGAAAUACAACGGGAAGAAAAUGAAAAGCUGCUGAUCCAAAGAGCAACGGAGGAGUUAUUAAGCGAAGAUUGGCUGAAGGAAAACUGUAAAAGGUGCCCUUCCUGUGGUGCUAACAUACAGGUCGGAUGGAGGAUGACGGCUGAUGGAUGACGGCAGUUCUUGCUAUAUGAACUCGGUAACAAACCCAAGGAUACGGGCUUCAGCUUUGUUGUGCCAGCCAUGGUAAAUACAGGAACAUUCUUCAUGAAAAUAUGCGAGAGAAGCUUACAAGGCAAGAUGAGAAAAAAAUAAAGCCUAGUGUCAGUGAAGAUAGUGUGGCCAGGAAUUCUGGUGUUUGUGGGAAAUGUGAAGGAACAUCUUCCAGCAUUCUACUACGAUGUUGCCCUGAUGAUUGAGAGUAUUGGAUUACCUCCUGCCUCCUGGAUUAUGUUCGCCGUUCAUCACCCCUCGCCUGCUUUACGGACUACUCUCACGUCUUGCCUUCGCUGCACCUGUCUGCUAUUAUUCAACCCUGCCUGUCUGUGACCAUCUCUUUAUCUUUGUCCGAAUCUAAUAAAAGCUUGCAUUUGGAUCUGCUCGCUUCACGUCUCCCUCACUAUGUUACAGAAUACUCGGUCACAAAAGGGUUUAGCAUAUUUUCCGACGGAUACUGGUCAGGUAUGGACACAACAAAAAUACUUUUCAGACUAAAACAAGGCCCACAAACACUUGAGCAACAUGUUUGUGAAUUUCUGGCCAUUGCAAACUAUUCCGAUCUUCCGGACUGUAUUUUAAUAGAGAUUUUCUAUUUUUGGUGUAAAUUAACCGUUAAAGGCAAGACUUAGACGCAAGGGUCAGCAUUCAUCUCUCCCCCAAUUCAUGGAUUAUGCUUUAGCGACUGUUGGCUCUUUAUUCACCGUGGGUGUCGCGGAGGAAGAACGCAACAUCGCGACCAUGCCGGUAAUGGCGGCCGCAACGUUAAGUCAGCCAGGAACCCCGGGACACUCUAGCAUUGUGAUCGCUACUCCGGUGUUGAAACCCGCUCAUGAAAUGGCAGCCGCACCGGAGUGCGCUCACGUAAUGCCGGCGACAGCGGAGCCCAUUCACAAAAUGGCGGCGAAGGCAAAGCUCCGUCAUCUCACUGCUGCCAAACCAGUGUCAUGUAAUUUCACCGCUGUUGUUCCCCAGUCAAGUCAAGUUACGGCUGUGAUUCCCGAGUUCAGGCAAGUUAAAGCUGUGGUUCCCGAGUCCAGUCAAGUUAAAGCUGUGGUUCCUGAGUCCAGUCAAGCUAUGGCUGUCAUUCCUGAGUCAAGCAAAGUCAAAUCUGUCGUUCCUGAGUCAAGUAAAGUCAAAGCUGUUGUUCCUGAGCCAAGUCAAGUCACAGCUGAUCUCCAUGAGCCAAGUCAGGUCACAGCCGAUCUCCACGAGCCAAGUCACAGCUAAUCUCCAGAAGCCAAGUCACAGCCGAUCUCCAUGAGCCAAGUCAAGUCAUAGCUGAUCUUCAUGAGCCAAGUCAAGUCACAGUUGAUCUCCAUGAGCCAAGACAAGUCACAGCUGAUCUCCAUGAGCCAAGUCAAUCACAGUUGAUCUCCAUGAGCCAAGUCAAGUCACAGCUGAUCUCCAGGAGCCAAGUCACAGCUGAUCUCCAUGAGCCAAGUCAAGUCACAGUUGAUCUCCAUGAGCCAAGUCAAGUCACAGCUGAUCUCCAGGAGCCAAGUCGCAGCCGAUCUCCAUGAGCCACGUCAAGUCACAGCAGAUCUUCAUGAGCCAAGUCAGGUAGCAGCUGAUCUUUAUGAGCCAAGUCAAGUUACAGUUGAUCAAGUUAUUGCUGUUGUUCCUGGGUCAAGUCACAUCACAGCUGGUCGUCCAGAGUCAAGUCACGUCUCGUCUGUCCGCCCAGAGCCUCGUCAUGUCUCGUCUGUCCGCCCAGAGCCUCGUCACAUCUCGUCUGACUUCCCAGAGCCUCGUCACGUCUCGUCUGACCUCCCAGAGCCUCGUCACAUCUCGUCUGACACCCAAAGGUCACGACCUAUCAUGAUGGCCAGCGUGUUGGAUCCACCACUAGUGUCUGUGCGGGCUGCAAGCAUUCCAGUGGCUUCAGUGCCUUUAAACCCAACAAUUAAAGAGGUCCUGCCACCCGCUGCUGCUCUUCCCCCAAUGGCGUUAGCCAUUUGGUGUGUGUGUGGGCUGCACACUGUGCUUCAGAGGCCUCGUCUGCCCACAAAUCUGCUCCAGAGGUCUCGUCUGUCCACAAGUCUGCUCCAGAGGUCUCGUCUAUCCACAAGUCUGCUUCUGAGGCCUCGUCUGACCAUGAACAAAUGGAGAGAAUCCAUGCAUAUCCUGUAAAGCUGCUUUCUCAUGCAGAGAAGGUUGGUUUAUGCAAUGUUAAAAGGAAAGCUGACCAAAAUUAAAAAUGUUUCUCAUGCAUAAAAUAAAAUUUUAUUUGCAAUGCAGAAAGACACUUCUUAGAUAUUUUAAGCACAUUACUUCAGUGCAGUGCACGGUUAGUUUAGAGCUUUAUAACACAGUGUUAGUGUUCACAGAGGCUCUAAACUAAGCAUUUUCUGCAUUGAAGCUCUAACAUAAUUUGAUAUAUAUAUAAAAGUUCUAACCCAGUGUCUUUCUGCAUUACAGAUAAGAUUUAUUUCAUGCAUAUGAACAGGAGGUGGGGUCGUCAGGGGGUUAGGAAAAAGGCACACAGUGUAAACAGUGUAAAAAGUAGAUACAGAGAAAAAAAUAUAGCUGCAAGCAGCAAUUGCAGGGCCAAGCACAAAAGAGGCAGAA
Labeo rohita (rohu) is the source of this 4152-nucleotide RNA transcript. It is a transcript of the gene named E3 ubiquitin-protein ligase RNF14, with no coding region annotated. The record is from RefSeq and is a predicted model, not a curated record. Lineage: Eukaryota; Metazoa; Chordata; Actinopteri; Cypriniformes; Cyprinidae. The transcript is spliced from 10 exons.